This 254-nucleotide ribosomal RNA is filed under the name uncultured bacterium. Its description in RNAcentral is "partial 16S ribosomal RNA". It matches the Rfam family "Bacterial small subunit ribosomal RNA", at positions 524 to 776 of the family's 1533-position model. The record is from RNAcentral. RNAcentral also lists the same sequence under 1 other name.
UACAUAGGGAGCAAGCGUUAUCCGGAAUGAUUGGGCGUAAAGCGUCUGUAGGUGGUUCAAAAAGUCUACUGUCAAAUACGUUGGCUCAACCAACGGCAGGCAUUAGAGUACUAUUGAACUAGAGUAUGGUAGAGGUAGAGGGAAUCCCUAGCGUAACAGUGAAAUGUGUAGAUUUUAGGGAGAACACCAGCGGCGAAGGCGCUCUACUGGGCCAUUACUGACACUGAGAGACGAAAGCUAAGGGAGCGAAAGGG